Rhagoletis pomonella (apple maggot) is the source of this 390-nucleotide long non-coding RNA. RefSeq lists it as uncharacterized. NCBI's taxonomy places the organism in Eukaryota, Metazoa, Arthropoda, Insecta, Diptera, Tephritidae. The record is from RefSeq and is a predicted model, not a curated record. The transcript has 3 exons.
CCACACAUUAUAGAAGCUAUUUAUUGGCGAUUUGAAUCUUGACUUGUAGCUGCAAAGUGUCAUAAUCCAAAAAAUCAACUCAAGAAGAACGGCUUUUAAUAAACUACUGGGAAUCCUUAAUGUUUAGAAAUCUUUAUACAACAUAGAAGAACAGCAAAUGUGCGAUAUGAACAUUUUUUAUCCCAUACGAUGCUGGGAUUAAUUGCGUUGGCAUGUGGCGUGUGGCAGCAGCUGAUGCACGUAAGUGACGCUAUCAACCUUGGCAAUACAUUUGGCUAAAUCUCUGACGUAUUGCCGGUUCGAUUGUAUGUAAAAAUAAAUUCGCGAUUAAUCAGACAAAAAUGCAAGAAUACCUAGUAUAAUAAUUUAAUAAGAAAAGUUGCAGCAAUG